Molecule: transfer RNA, 73 nt
Filed under: Mustela putorius furo (domestic ferret)
Lineage: Eukaryota; Metazoa; Chordata; Mammalia; Carnivora; Mustelidae
Rfam family: tRNA
About the family: Transfer RNA (tRNA) molecules are approximately 80 nucleotides in length. Their secondary structure includes four short double-helical elements and three loops (D, anti-codon, and T loops).
Source: Rfam by way of RNAcentral
GCCUGGUGGGCUCAGUCAGUAGAGCAUGUGACUCUUGAUCUCAGGGUUGUGAGUUCGAGCCCCAUGUUGGGUG